ACGGAAGGCAGCAGUGAGGAAUAUUGGUCAAUGGGCGAGAGCCUGAACCAGCCAAGUCGCGUGAAGGAUGAAGGUUCUAUGGAUUGUAAACUUCUUUUGUUCGAGGGUAAAGUGAGGGAUGCGUCCCUUAUUGCAAGUAUCGAACGAAUAAGCAUCGGCUAACUCCGUGCCAGCAGCCGCGGUAAUACGGAGGAUGCGAGCGUUAUCCGGAUUUAUUGGGUUUAAAGGGUGCGUAGGCGGGAUGUUAAGUCAGCGGUGAAAGCGUGUAGCUCAACUAUACCAAGCCGUUGAAACUGGCGUUCUUGAGCGUAAACGAGGUAGGCGGAAUGUGACGUGUAGCGGUGAAAUGCUUAGAUAUGUCACAGAACCCCGAUUGCGAAGGCAGCUUACCAGCAUACAACUGACGCUGAGGCACGAAAGUGCGGGGAUCAAACAGGAUUAGAUACCCUGGUA
RNAcentral lists this ribosomal RNA (453 nucleotides) under uncultured Porphyromonadaceae bacterium. RNAcentral's name for it is "partial 16S ribosomal RNA". It matches the Rfam family "Bacterial small subunit ribosomal RNA", at positions 341 to 792 of the family's 1533-position model. The record is from RNAcentral. Lineage: Bacteria; Pseudomonadati; Bacteroidota; Bacteroidia; Bacteroidales; Porphyromonadaceae.